This 254-nucleotide ribosomal RNA is filed under the name uncultured bacterium. RNAcentral's name for it is "partial 16S ribosomal RNA". It matches the Rfam family "Bacterial small subunit ribosomal RNA", at positions 524 to 776 of the family's 1533-position model. The record is from RNAcentral.
UACAGAGGUGGCAAGCGUUGUUCGGAAUUACUGGGCGUAAAGGGCGCGUAGGUGGCCUUUUGAGUCAGACGUGAAAUCCCCCGGCUUAACCUGGGAACUGCGUCUGAUACUGGAUGGCUUGAGUUUGGGAGAGGGAUGCGGAAUUCCAGGUGUAGCGGUGAAAUGCGUAGAUAUCUGGAGGAACACCGGUGGCGAAGGCGGCAUCCUGGACCAACACUGACGCUGAGUGAGCGAAAGCCAGGGGAGCAAACGGG